AUAACCCCGGGAAACUGGGGAUAAUUCUGGAUAACGCACAUAUGCUGGAAUGCUUUAUGCGUAAAAUGGAUUCGUCUGCCCAAGGAUGGGUCUGCGGCCUAUCAGGUAGUAGUGGGUGUAAUGUACCUACUAGCCAACAACGGGUACGGGUUGUGAGAGCAAGAGCCCGGAGAUGGAUUCUGAGACAUGAAUCCAGGCCCUACGGGGCGCAGCAGGCGCGAAAACUUUACAAUGCGGGAAACCGUGAUAAGGGGACACCGAGUGCCAGCAUCAUAUGCUGGCUGUCCAGGUGUGUAAACUACACCUGUUAGCAAGGGCCGGGCAAGACCGGUGCCAGCCGCCGCGGUAACACCGGCGGCCCGAGUGGUGAUCGUGAUUAUUGGGUCUAAAGGGUCCGUAGCCGGUUUGGUCAGUCCUCCGGGAAAUCUGAUAGCUCAACUAUUAGGCUUUCGGGGGAUACUGCCAGGCUUGGAACCGGGAGAGGUAAGAGGUACUACAGGGGUAGGAGUGAAAUCUUGUAAUCCCUGUGGGACCACCUGUGGCGAAGGCGUCUUACCAGAACGGGUUCGACGGUGAGGGACGAAAGCUGGGGGCACGAACCGGAUUAGAUACCCGGGUAGUCCCAGCCGUAAACGAUGCUCGCUAGGUGUCAGGCAUGGCGUGACCGUGUCUGGUGCCGCAGGGAAGCCGUGAAGCGAGCCACCUGNGAAGUACGGCCGCAAGGCUGAAACUUAA
Molecule: ribosomal RNA, 735 nt
Filed under: uncultured archaeon S30-3
Lineage: Archaea
Description: bacterial SSU rRNA
Rfam family: Archaeal small subunit ribosomal RNA
Source: RNAcentral